UCUCCUUUGUCUUUGGAUGUGGGGUAUUUUUUUGGUGAGUUCCAGUGUCCUCCUGUCGAUGACUGUCCAGCAGCUAGUUGUGAUUCUGGUGUUCUCGCAAGAGGGAGUGAGAGCACGUCCUUCUACUGCACCAUCUUGUUUCCUCUACCGAGCUCUCACCAUUUAAUUUGUUCAGUUCCUUUCUUUAUGGGGACCAAUUUUAGUGUCUUGCUGUUUUUAAUACCUUGUUACCAAUAAUCCCCAUUUUCUGAAAGUCUGGAAAACUGGAGCUUUUUGAUCUUUCAUUCAUUGAAAAUGUGGAUAAGAAAUUUUCCAAAACUAUUUUGGAAAAAUAUAGCCCAAAUUUAGAAGGCUCAUUUAUAUAGAGUUCAAUACCAUUAUAGGGCACUUAGAUUCAUUUAUAAAUUAUUUCUUCAAAGGCUCAAAUAUCUCUAAUCCUACUUAUGGCAGCCAGCAAGGAGAAAAACACAUACUGCUUUGUAUUCAAAAUCAGGUUGUUUCACAAAAAAUGUGUAGUUCAGUUAUUCUAACUAUGUAUAUGUUGUAAUAUUUAUAAAUUUUUAUAGCUACUGCUACUAUUUGACAACUUGAGUGCAAAGAUAAAUUAUGUUGCAGCACACCCAAUGCCAUGCACAUUUCUACUCCAUAAAUUUCUUUAGAAAGAACAUGGUUUUACCAUGGCACUAUGCUCCAUCAAAAUUUGUAUUUAUAUUGUUAUGCAAGGAUAACUUUAGUUUGAACAUUUUAAACACUGAAUUUACAGUAACACUGAUUCAUUUAACAGAGUUUAUAAUGGCAUCUCGCUCUAGGAAUGUCAAAUGUUUUACUUUCCACAGGAUGAAAUUCCAAAUACUUUACUUUGGUACCAUGACAUGUAAAAAAUUGAAUCAUUAUUGAAAAAUAAUCGUUUUCCAAUACACAGGGCCUGAUUACACUGAUGUGAAAGUGGCAUCACUUAAUUGUGUUUCUGCGUUGGAGCCAGUGCGUUAACAGCUACAAUUUUGGAUAGAGUCAUCUCCGGUGGAACUGAAGAUAAGAAAGAAGAUCAAAGGAAGAAGAGGACUUCAGGAAAAGCCAGUAAAGAGUGCUGAGGCAUAUGCAGCGUGAAUCCUCUGCAUUAGGUGUCCUGCUGGGAUGAGCCGAGAGCGCUGUGAUACAGAGUGGCCGUGGAGUUGGCCAGGGAGGACUUCGCAUCUGCAUGGGUGGUGACGUUGGGAAAACUCAAUUUGCCUGUGGAUCCGGCCCUUCUCAGUUUCUUCGUAGUUACAAGUUAAACAGGUCAUUUCUAUGCCCUGUGUCUCCUGAAUUUUGGA
Molecule: non-coding RNA, 1313 nt
Organism: Delphinapterus leucas (beluga whale)
Lineage: Eukaryota; Metazoa; Chordata; Mammalia; Artiodactyla; Monodontidae
Source: RefSeq, a predicted model, not a curated record